GACCGCGUAGCUCAGUUGAAUGAGCAUUGGGCUAGUAUUCCAAAGGUCGUAGGUUCGAUUCCUACCGUUGCCC
RNAcentral lists this transfer RNA (73 nucleotides) under Paramuricea clavata. It matches the Rfam family "tRNA". Rfam says of the family: Transfer RNA (tRNA) molecules are approximately 80 nucleotides in length. Lineage: Eukaryota; Metazoa; Cnidaria; Anthozoa; Malacalcyonacea; Plexauridae. The record is from Rfam by way of RNAcentral.